AUCCAGCUGACGAAUCCCGACUAGGACGAAACGUGCGUCCUGAAU
This is a non-coding RNA of Schistosoma mansoni, 45 nucleotides long. The record is from Rfam. NCBI's taxonomy places the organism in Eukaryota, Metazoa, Platyhelminthes, Trematoda, Strigeidida, Schistosomatidae.